Molecule: ribosomal RNA, 687 nt
Filed under: Triticum aestivum (bread wheat)
Lineage: Eukaryota; Viridiplantae; Streptophyta; Magnoliopsida; Poales; Poaceae
Description: partial small subunit ribosomal RNA
Source: RNAcentral
AUGGGGCUCUUCUCCGGCAGCGGCAGCAAGUCGAAGGGCAAGACCCCCGUCGUCCCCUUCCCCGCGGAGUUCACCCCGCCUCCGCCUGCGCCGGCUCGUCGGCAGAGGCAGCGGGUGAACGUGCCCGUGCACCAGGCGGAGUGGCACUGGCGCCACCUCGUGCCCCUGCCCUAUCCCGACGUGACGCUGCCGCACGACUGGCAUCUGGAUCCAGAAAGGAUCCCAGUGCCGGCGGCGCCGCGGUCGGCUAGGACGCAUGCGGAGGAGGUGCGCCGCCGGCGGGCGCUACUGACGCCGGAGCAGCACCGCGACGAGGCGUGCGCCUUCGACUCGCCCAACUGGGCGCGCUGGUUCGCCUACCAGGCGGCCCUUGUGGCCGUCUACCGGGAGAGCGAGGAGGACAAGCGGCGCAGGGCGGAGGCGGCUGAAGAGGAAGAGGCUCGGUACGAGGCGGCCAUGGCGCAGGCCAUGGCCCUCUCCGCGGCCGACGACUGCGUGGUGCCACCGGUGGCGCCGCCGUCCCCUCCCCGACGCCUUGUCAAGGCCGACCCGGAGCCGCAGCCGGAGCCGAAGCCGGUCUCGAUCGCGAGCUUCUCCUGGACGGGGGUGGUGCGCGAGUGGGUGUCCGCGUCGCCCGUUUGGAUGGAGGCGACCCCGGUGCAGGAGGCGGCCUACCUCGAGCACUAG